UACGGAGGGUGCGAGCGUUAAUCGGAAUUACUGGGCGUAAAGCGCGCGUAGGCGGUUUGGUAAGCUGGAUGUGAAAGCCCUGGGCGUCAACCUGGGAACGUGCAUCCAGAACUGCCAAGCUAGAGUAUGGUAGAGGGCAGUGGAAUUUCCGGUGUAGCGGUGAAAUGCGUAGAGAUCGGAAGGAACACCAGUGGCGAAGGCGACUGCCUGGACCAAUACUGACGCUGAGGUGCGAAAGCUGGGGGAGCAAACAGGAUUGAAACCACC
This 267-nucleotide ribosomal RNA is filed under the name uncultured bacterium. RNAcentral's name for it is "partial 16S ribosomal RNA". It matches the Rfam family "Bacterial small subunit ribosomal RNA", at positions 524 to 787 of the family's 1533-position model. The record is from RNAcentral.